GCCCGUGUGGCGGAAUUGGUAGACGCGCAGCACUUAAAAUGCUGUGACUAACAAGUCGUGCCGGUUCGAGUCCGGCCUCGGGCA
Molecule: transfer RNA, 84 nt
Filed under: Omnitrophica bacterium GWA2_41_15
Lineage: Bacteria; Pseudomonadati; Candidatus Omnitrophota
Description: tRNA-Leu
Rfam family: tRNA
About the family: Transfer RNA (tRNA) molecules are approximately 80 nucleotides in length. Their secondary structure includes four short double-helical elements and three loops (D, anti-codon, and T loops).
Source: RNAcentral